Drosophila grimshawi is the source of this 76-nucleotide microRNA precursor. It matches the Rfam family "mir-6 microRNA precursor family". From Rfam's summary of the family: This family consists of the microRNA (miRNA) precursor mir-6 which appears to be Drosophila specific. Animal miRNAs are transcribed as ~70nt precursors and subsequently processed by the Dicer enzyme to give a ~22nt product. Lineage: Eukaryota; Metazoa; Arthropoda; Insecta; Diptera; Drosophilidae. The record is from Rfam.
AAAGGAAGAGAACGCUCGCUGCUGAUGUAGUUCAUGAUUCAAAUAUUUUAUAUCACAGUGGCUGUUCUUUUUUGUU